RNAcentral lists this ribosomal RNA (478 nucleotides) under uncultured bacterium. RNAcentral describes it as "partial 16S ribosomal RNA". It matches the Rfam family "Bacterial small subunit ribosomal RNA", at positions 28 to 507 of the family's 1533-position model. The record is from RNAcentral.
GACGAACGCUGGCGGCGUGCUUAACACAUGCCAGUCGAACGGGAUUUCGUAAACAGAAGCCUCGGUGGAAGAUUACUAAUGAGAGUGGCGAACGGGUGAGUAACGCGUGAGCAACCUGCCUAUGACAGUGGGAUAGCCUCGGGAAACCGGGAUUAAUACCGCAUAAAAUCGUAGAAACACAUGUUUUAACGGUCUAAGAUUUAUCGGUCAUAGAUGGGCUCGCGUCUGAUUAGCUAGUUGGUGAGAUAACAGCCCACCAAGGCGACGAUCAGUAGCCGGUCUGAGAGGAUGAACGGCCACAUUGGAACUGAGACACGGUCCAAACUCCUACGGGAGGCAGCAGUGGGGAAUAUUGCACAAUGGGGGAAACCCUGAUGCAGCGACGCCGCGUGAACGAAGAAGGUAUUCGUAUCGUAAAGUUCUGUCCUAUGGGAAGAUAAUGACAGUACCAUAGAAGAAAGCUCCGGCUAAAUACGUG